GCAGAGGCGGAAGUGACUCGGCGCGGCUCGGAAGCCCACGGGCUUGCGCGUUGCCUAGGGUUCACUGGGGCGAGCAGUAAGAUAUUGGCCAGGGCUUUCUCACAGCUCCUAGAGACGGACCUCAGACGUGCAUCAUGUGGACCUCUGAAAACAUGGAGCUCAUUGCUCCGAAGCCGACUGGAGAGCUUCUCCCAAUCCUGCUGCUGCUGCUGUUACAGCUGCUUACAACAGCUAUUGUUGUGGCUAGAGUCUUAUAUUCAAUGUGACACCAUAGGAGAAAUGAUUCUACUUUUGCUAUAUUACAUAAACUAAUAAAAGGAGGAACAUCCCAUUAUACUCUCAAACCCUGUGGUAUACUCAGGGAGAGGUUAUAACCUCAUCAAGGAUCUUAGGAGCCAUUUUUUAGGUCUUGGCAACCAUGGCUCUUGAAUGGGUAACUGCUGGCAGAACAUGAAAUCCUUCUUAAACUGAUUGUUGACUUUUUCUUUGACAUUCUCUUGGGAUCAGCCACUAGUUUAUUAGUGUGCUUAGAAAUUAUGAAUUUCCAAUAUGAAACAUUCAUGUUUCACAGACUUCAAAGUUACAUCUUUGAGCAUAUUUUGUCACAGUCUUCCUUACAAUUUAAAAUAAAUGCAUUGUAAAAAAUG
This 647-nucleotide long non-coding RNA is filed under the name Mus pahari (shrew mouse). RNAcentral describes it as "lncRNA (MGP_PahariEiJ_G0003558.1)". Lineage: Eukaryota; Metazoa; Chordata; Mammalia; Rodentia; Muridae. The record is from RNAcentral.